Odocoileus virginianus texanus is the source of this 495-nucleotide non-coding RNA. Lineage: Eukaryota; Metazoa; Chordata; Mammalia; Artiodactyla; Cervidae. The record is from RefSeq and is a predicted model, not a curated record.
CCGACGGGGCCUGCGCGGUUCCUGGGUUGCGCGGCAGCUAGUGGCCUUCGCGACGGGGAAAGAGCGACGUCAGGACUUGGCAAGGUCCCGUGAUGGCAGCCUCUUGCCACCACCCUUCGGAAAACUUUUUUCUGCCUUUCCACUCUUUCCGCACCCUCCUCUGAAAAUUUUCUAACUGUUCUUUGGAGACAGAUCUACUGGUACUUUAAAUAUCACUUCGCUCUUUUUCUUACUUGCAUAUUUCCUGAAGAGAAGUCAUGUUGUCCAGUUGCUGGCCAAAGCUAGUCACACAGUGAAGCACUAUUAAGAGAGGGAGCGGUCUUCCCACAGGAGGAGUGUAGAGAGAUACAAGCUAAUCAGGGGUGAAGCUGCUACUGCUGCCGCCAGGCCCUGCAGAUGGUCUUUUCUUUGCCACGUCUCGGCUGCAGGCCCACCUUGUCCUGUCAUCUCCAUUCCUGUUUCCCAGUCCUCCCCCCCCCCCCCCAUUGAACAGCA